UUUUAAUCUCAGCUGUAUGAAAUUCUGGAACAAUGUAGAACAAACCUAGAACAACCUGGAACAACCUUUAAAAUGUUUCUAACUUCAAAGUGCGGUGCCAACUUCCCGGAGGUCAACUACUACUAAAAACACUAGAAAACGAAAAUCUGCCUCUACCGCAGCAACUUCGUCUAUCGCUGAUGACGUGACAUUGCAGCCAGCUUAUAACGGUCCAGUUCCAAUUUCUAAAGCUAUACACGAAGACCCAUCAAGUCUUUGGAGGAUUGACGUCCUACCUCUCCAUUAUCACAGUUUUUACAAUACGAAAUUUCAAAUUCGAAGCCGUUUUAGGUGAGGAUGACUGUGACAGUAGAGCAUUUUAGUAAAGAAAAAUUUUAUUGUGGUACCCUCCGAUCCAACCGUAGAGGACUUCCUAAGAAAAUUAUAGGUACAAAAUUAAAAAGGUCAGACUACAGGAAAAAUGAAUCUUAAUGGCGAAAAAAAAAAAUGGUGUGAUAAACGCCAAGUUUUAAUACCUGCAAAGGACACAAUGCUAUUUUAGUAAACACAAGCAAUACCACUUACGAAGACAUUAAAAAACCUUCAUGCGUUCUCUUGUAUAAUGAAAACAAGAAAGGUAUUGACUACAGUGACUAAAUGUCAUCUUAUUACACGACUUUAAAACGGGGACUAAAAUGGUAUCGAAAAGUUAUGACAAAAUUUUUAUUUGGUACUUCUGUUCUGAACGCCUGGAUAAUUUAUAAUAUGUAUAAUACUUAUAACAAAAUGCGAAGAUUAAUUGUUAAAAAAGGAAAGAUUUCUUGAAAAACGAAAAUGACUCUUUCAAACAAAGAUUGAAGACAGCCAAGAAACUCCACAAAUUCUGCAUUUCAACAAACACUAAAUAAAUUCAAAACCUUGGCUGCUAUCUUCACUGUGAUGCAAUUUCGUGAAAUAAAUAAACCAAAAAUGGGACGUAGAUUCACCAAAGAGGAGAAUAUUAUGGCACUGAUGGAGACUUGGGAGGAUUGUGGCUGUGCAUCCAGGCUCUGAUGGAAUCAAUCGAGUUGCUGAUGUGAAGACGUCCACCGGCGCGCGUGCUUCGGCGUUCCUUCUCCAGAAUAUGUCCACUUCCUGAGGUUGUUGAUGGAUCUUGAAAGAAUAUCUUUCAACGCGGGGAGCAUGUUCUAAACUUUUUGUGCCUUAUGAUUUUUACCCCCUUAAGGCGCUGUGUUAUCUGUGAACAACAUUAUUUUCGUCACGUAAUUUGCUCAGAGUUUCGCAGUGUUGUUCCUCACUGACAUAUAUUUUCGCGAAAACUGUAAUUUUCAGAUUUUUUUAUUUAUUUUUCCUGGGGUAUUUAGAUCACCAAUAAACCAUUUUAGUGAAUAAAAUAUUGAAGUUAA
This is a long non-coding RNA of Colias croceus (clouded yellow), 1385 nucleotides long. RefSeq lists it as uncharacterized. The record is from RefSeq and is a predicted model, not a curated record. Lineage: Eukaryota; Metazoa; Arthropoda; Insecta; Lepidoptera; Pieridae. The transcript is spliced from 2 exons.